This 511-nucleotide long non-coding RNA is filed under the name Nicotiana tabacum (common tobacco). RNAcentral's name for it is "long non-coding RNA (NTAB_LNC012248)". Lineage: Eukaryota; Viridiplantae; Streptophyta; Magnoliopsida; Solanales; Solanaceae. The record is from RNAcentral.
GUUUAUAUGCAGGAGUUGAAUAACACAAGGAGCAACUCCACAAUCCUUUGCUGAGAAAAUCGUCUUUUGUUAUAAUUGAGGGACUUAAUUUAUGGCUUAAGGAAGGAAUUCUUGAUAUUCUUUUGAUGAGGAGGUUAAUUUCUAUUGAUAUAGGGUUUUUUUUUUCUAAAAUACUUUUUUUGUUCUUCAAAAUUUUUUAUGUAGGGUAUAUUGUAUAGUUAACGAUUUUGUAUAGAAGUUACUAUCUCUUUCUUAUUUUAUUAUUAUUGAUUCACUAAUUAAAGUUAGUUUUAUGAAUUCUGUUUGAAGAUAUAUUUUACUUAAAAUAAUGAAAUCAAAAGUAUUUAUAAAUUUUUUUCUUUACACACAGGUAUAUGAAGGUCUAAAAAGUGUCUGGGAAGAUUGUAGAUAAGGGACGCUGCAUUGGCACAUGAGGAAGCAACAUGCUUGUCUUUUUUAGUUUACCAUUGUUCAUGUAUUUCAAUUAGACUUUUUAUGCUUUAGUUAUUUC